Molecule: ribosomal RNA, 318 nt
Filed under: Triticum aestivum (bread wheat)
Lineage: Eukaryota; Viridiplantae; Streptophyta; Magnoliopsida; Poales; Poaceae
Description: partial small subunit ribosomal RNA
Source: RNAcentral
AUGAGGUCAUUCUUUUGGGUUGGCAAGGACAAGGUGAAUGGUGGGCAAUGCCUCGUCGCGUGGGAUAAAAUCUGUCGACCCAAGUGCUAUGGAGGGCUCGGUGUGAAGAACUUACAGUAUCAACCCCUGGCGCUUAGGAUCGGAUGGGAAUGGUUAAAGUGCAUGGAACUAGCAAGGCCUUGGCAGGGACUACCGAUGAUCGAAGACAGGUUAGCAAGAGAGGUGUUUGACAGUCUGGUGCACAUUACAGUCGGCAUGGGUGACAAGGUGUUGUUCUGGCGUGAUCGUAGAUAUACGGAUAUGCAGUGGCUGACAUAG